RNAcentral lists this ribosomal RNA (253 nucleotides) under uncultured bacterium. RNAcentral's name for it is "partial 16S ribosomal RNA". It matches the Rfam family "Bacterial small subunit ribosomal RNA", at positions 524 to 776 of the family's 1533-position model. The record is from RNAcentral.
UACGUAGGGAGCGAGCGUUGUUCGGAAUUACUGGGCGUAAAGAGUGUGUAGGCGGUGCUCUAAGUCUGUCGUGAAAUCUCCCGGCUUAACCGGGAGGCUGCGGCGGAAACUGGUGUGCUAGAGGGUGGGAGAGGUAAGCGGAAUUCCUGGUGUAGCGGUGAAAUGCGUAGAUAUCAGGAGGAAUACCGGUGGCGAAGGCGGCAUCCUGGACCGAGAUUGACGCUGAUGAGCGAAAGCUAGGGGAGCAGACGGG